This is a long non-coding RNA of Homo sapiens (human), 1956 nucleotides long. Ensembl annotates it as HERC2 pseudogene 3. Its record names the gene HERC2P3. NCBI's taxonomy places the organism in Eukaryota, Metazoa, Chordata, Mammalia, Primates, Hominidae. The record is from Ensembl.
CCGUAUGCGAUGUUUUGUGGAUGGCAAAGACUUAUUCCUGAGGGAAUCGAUAUAGGGGAACCUCUUACUGAUUGUUUAAAGGAUGUUGAUUUGAUCCCGCCUUUUAAUCGGAUGCUGCUGGAAGUCACCUUUGGCAAGCUGUACGCUUGGGCUGUUCAGAACAUUCGAAAUGUUUUGGUGGAUGCCAGUGCCAAAUUUAAAGAGCUUGGUAUCCAGCCGGUUCCCCUGCAAACCAUCACCAAUGAGAACCCAUCGGGACCGAGCUUGGGGACCAUCCCGCAAGCCCACUUCCUCCUGGUGAUGCUCAGCAUGCUCACCCUGCAGCACAGCGCAAACAACCUUGACCUCCUGCUCAAUUCCGGCACGCUGGCCCUCGCUCAGACGGCACUGCGCCUGAUUGGCCCCAGUUGUGACAGCGUUGAGGAAGAUAUGAAUGCUUCUGCUCAAGGUGCUUCUGCCACAGUUUUGGAAGAAACAAGGAAGGAAACGGCUCCUGUGCAGCUCCCUGUUUCAGGGCCAGAACUGGCUGCCAUGAUGAAGAUUGGAACAAGGGUCAUGAGAGGUGUGGACUGGAAAUGGGGCGAUCAGGAUAGGCCUCCUCCAGGCCUAGGCCGAGUGAUUGGUGAGCUGGGAGAGGACGGGUGGAUAAGAGUCCAGUGGGACACAGGCAGCACCAACUCCUACAGGAUGGGGAAAGAAGGAAAUUACGACCUCAAGCUGGCAGAGCUGCCAGCCCCUGCACAGCCCUCAGCAGAGGAUUCGGACACAGAGGACGACUCUGAAGCCGAACAAACUGAAAGGAACAUUCACCCCACUGCAAUGAUGUUUACCAGCACUAUUAACUUACUGCAGACUCUUUGUCUGUCUGCUGGAGUUCAUGCUGAGAUCAUGCAGAGUGAAGCCACCAAGACUUUAUGCGGACUGCUGCAAAUGCUGGUGUACAGGGAGCAACACCGGAGCUGGUGCACGCUGGGGUUUGUGCAGAGCAUCGCUCUCACGCUGCAGGUGUGCGGCACCCUCAGCUCCCUGCAGUGGAUCACGCUGCUCAUGAAGGUCGUGGAAGGGCACGCACCCUUCACUGCCACCUCGCUGCAGAGGCAGAUCUUAGCUGUGCAUUUGUUGCAAGCAGUCCUUCCGUCAUGGGACAAGACCGAAAGGGCGAGGGACAUGAAAUGCCUCAUGGAGAAGCUGUUUGACUUCUUGGGGAGCUUGCUCACUAUGUGCUCCUCUGACGUGCCGUUACUCAGAGGUGGGUGGCCGUCUCCCUUCCCUGUACCCUGGUGAAGAGCGGUGCAGUGCCGUCACUCAGAGGUGGGUGGCCGUCUCCCUUCCCUGUGUCCUGGUGAAGAGCCGUGUAGUGCCAUCACUCAGAGGUGGGUGGCCGUCUCCCUUCCCUGUACCCUGGUGAAGAGCGGUGCAGUGCCGUCACUCAGAGGUGGGUGGCCGUCUCCCUUCCCUGUGUCCUGGUGAAGAGCCGUGUAGUGCCAUCACUCAGAGGUGGGUGGCCAUCUCCCUUCCCUGUGUCCUGGUGAAGAGCGGCGCAGUGCCGUCACUCAGAGGUGAGUGGCCGUCUCCCUUCCCUGUGCCCUGGUGAAGAGUGGUGCAGCAGCUUCUCCCCUGGUUUCCUCCUCAGAGUCCACGCUGAGGCGGCGCAGGGUGUGCCCGCAGGCCUCGCUGACUGCCACCCACAGCAGCACACUGGCGGAGGAGGUGGUGGCACUGCUGCACACGCUGCACUCCCUGACUCAGUGGAAUGGGCUCAUCAACAAGUACAUCAACUCCCAGCUCCGCUCCAUCACCCACAGCUUUGCGGGAAGGCCUUCCAAAGGGGCCCAGUUAGAGGACUACUUCCCUGAUUCCGAGAACCCUGAAGUGGGGGGCCUCAUGGCGGUCCUGGCUGUGGUUGGAGGCAUCGAUGGUCGCCUGUGCCUGGGCGGCCAAGUUGUGCACGAUGAC